UUUCUGUGUCGUAGCUAACGCAUUAAGCGCCCCGCCUGGGGAGUACGGCCGCAAGGCUAAAACUCAAAGGAAUUGACGGGGGCCCGCACAAGCGGCGGAGCAUGCGGAUUAAUUCGAUGCAACGCGAAGAACCUUACCAAGGCUUGACAUACACCGGAAACGGCCAGAGAUGGUUGCCCCCUUGUGGUCGGUGUACAGGUGGUGCAUGGUUGUCGUCAGCUCGUGUCGUGAGAUGUUGGGUUAAGUCCCGCAACGAGCGCAACCCUCGUUCUAUGUUGCCAGCGCGUUAUGGCGGGGACUCAUAGGAGACUGCCGGGGUCAACUCGGAGGAAGGUGGGGAUGACGUCAAAUCAUCAUGCCCCUUAUGUCUUGGGCUUCACGCAUGCUACAAUGGCCGGUACAAAGGGCUGCGAUACCGUAAGGUGGAGCGAAUCCCAAAAAGCCGGUCUCAGUUCGGAUUGAGGUCUGCAACUCGACCUCAUGAAGUCGGAGUCGCUAGUAAUCGCAGAUCAGCAACGCUGCGGUGAAUACGUUCCCGGGCCUUGUACACACCGCCCGUCAAGUCAUGAAAGUC
Molecule: ribosomal RNA, 574 nt
Filed under: Curtobacterium sp. JK9(2011)
Lineage: Bacteria; Bacillati; Actinomycetota; Actinomycetes; Micrococcales; Microbacteriaceae
Description: bacterial SSU rRNA
Rfam family: Bacterial small subunit ribosomal RNA
Source: RNAcentral